AAAGGAUGAAAGGCAAAGUCGACCUCGGCGGAAUUUGAACUCAGAACGCAGCGGCAGACGAAAUACCGUUAAGCAUUUCGCUCGGCGUGCUAACGUUUCUGCCAGCUCGCCACCUUAUAACCCAGAAAUAUUGAAGUCUACAUUAAUUCAUAUAUUUGUUUUCUUGGAUUUGCCUUGAAAUGUGUAACGGCAGAAAUUAAAUUGUAAACAAUUAUAUGGUAAACAGUAAGAUGGAAUUGGUACACAGCAGGAUGGAAUGUCAGCGUUGUAAUCAGUUUGUAAGGAUUGGUUCUUCGUUGAUUGCCUUUAUGUAAAGAUGAAAGAACAGUGAUUGAAGUUGCGAAGAAAAUAUUUAUUUACCGUUACAUUGAAUAUAGCUUGCCUCGACGGGCAGGUGGUAAAAUCCAAAAGCAUGCGAAGCUAAAAGGUUAAUUUCGGCCUGUAUGUUCUUAUUGUAGUAGUAAACCAUAGAGAGAGAUAUGGUAACGUGCAGAGAAGAGAAAGUAAGAGAGUGUGGACGAAACAACUGCUUCGUUGGUCAGUUUAGUAGCAUAUGGCGACUGGAAUUACACGUUAGCCGCCACCCCGAGUCGUGCACCAGCGAGCUUUGAUUGAAGGAGACGGCUGUAGCAGCACUUUGAACUCACCCUACUAAACACUGCUUGUCACAACUGACUAGUUUGCAGGAAAACAAUUUGAAAGCUCGCUAUGCAAUAAAGUUUUGUGUUAAACGAGACAAAAACACUAUAGAAACUUAUGAAAUGCUCCAGACUGGUCAUGGAUUAACUUGUAUGAAUCGAGCAUCUGUUUUUCGCUAGCACAAGAGGCCAGGCAAAGCAAAACAACCGGGGAAUUCAUAACGAUCUCCCUUUUUUGGAAGCAAAGUCAUCAUCUACAUCGACUGGGUUCUCUCUAGCCAGACGGCCAACAAAAACACUUUGUGGAGGUUUUGAGGGAGUUCAGGAAGAGAUUUCGUCGCAAAAGGCUUGAAUACCUGCACCAAUCCAAAAUUCCAUCCUGGUAAUCAAUUACUUGACAGAGAUGGGCAUCAAAACUAUACCUCAGCCUCCUUACAGUUCAGACAUUGCUUCCUGCGAUUUUUGGUUGCUCCCCAAACGGAAGGAGAAAAUGAAGGCAGCUGUUACAAGGGUCCUGAACACCUUUACGUAGGAGGACUUCCAUGGAGCCUUCACGAAGUGGCCAGAGCACUACCACAAGGGCACUGAAGUCAGAAGAUCCCAUUUUGAAGGAGAUUAGACUUUUGUACUUCUUUGAAAUUAAUAAAUACCUCUCCUGAAAAAUCUUAUAACUUCUGGAGUGCACCUGGUGUAUAUGUGUGCGUGCGUGCGUAUGCCCGUGCGCGCGCGUAUGUAUGCGUGCGUGUGUGUAUAAUUUUAUUACGAGGAUUCAUAAGAAUCAAGGUACAUCAACUUGUAGGACGCCAAAAGUGGCUAGGCACUAUAACUCAGUGAAAUAAACAACAUUGAAGACAUCAAGUGUUGCUAGGAUACCGUAGAUAGGCCAGUGCUAAAUCCAGUUUAAACCUUAGAUCCGACUUAAGGGUGGGUCCUUGGUGUGGUCUAGGUAUAAAAGGUAAACACAAAUGACGUUUGUUUCGGUAGAAUUUUAUUUAUUUAAUGCGGUCAUAAACGAUGAUAUAAUCCACCAUCACCAGGUAAAAUUUUAAACAGGUAAGAUUUUAAACAUCGACCUGGACAUAACCAACAUUAGUUACUGAAUAUGUAUGUAAACAACGAUUUUUACUACAAAAUGGAAGGGACCACAUAGAACCUUGAUGCCAGUGACCGUUCCACAAAACAUUCCAAGCAAGGCGUUUCAUCUUCUCUAAUAUAUAAAACAGAGAUGUCUGUGUAUUCGCUUUUCACGUGAAAUCGACUUCACCAAAUGCUUCCAUACUUGUGAUGCAUGAAUAAUUUGACCUCGGAUAAAUGAUAGGCUCUUCAUUUGAUUUUUU
This is a long non-coding RNA of Octopus bimaculoides (California two-spot octopus), 1975 nucleotides long. RefSeq lists it as uncharacterized. The record is from RefSeq and is a predicted model, not a curated record. NCBI's taxonomy places the organism in Eukaryota, Metazoa, Mollusca, Cephalopoda, Octopoda, Octopodidae.